Numida meleagris (helmeted guineafowl) is the source of this 1202-nucleotide long non-coding RNA. RefSeq lists it as uncharacterized. Lineage: Eukaryota; Metazoa; Chordata; Aves; Galliformes; Numididae. The record is from RefSeq and is a predicted model, not a curated record. The transcript has 2 exons.
UCCAGGCGCCGCUGUGUGCCCGCCCGCCAUGGCACGCGGCGAGGAGCGCUGCCGCCGUGCUCGGGGAACUUGGCGCGUUUUUUUCUCCUCGUGACACACGGAGAGGACUUGGGGCAGCCUCGUCAGCUCUGUUUUUAAGCCGUCGUUCUGGAAACUCAUGGCAAUGUUCUGGAAGCAAAAUGAUGCUUAAAAGAGUGUAGCAGAUUCACGGUGUAAUUUAGUGAUGCUUUGGCAACGGGGCCACUUAAUUGGGGGAAAAAAAAAAGUGUUAAUGGGGACGUGUCCUACAGCUACCUUGUGAAUACCUGAGAAAAGAUUCAUCCCUGUGCUGGCAGCUAUGGAUUUAGUACGGAGCCGAAUCACAAACCUCCCCACCUCACCCUCCUCUGGUGAUACUGCACGUACAGCUGUGAGGCUGCUUCCAUUCCAGCUGCCUCUUUGCAGCCCAGUAGUGUAUAUACCAGAAGCCAAAGCUGUGAUCAGAAUGCAUUCCUCAGGCUUUCUGCAAUGAAAAUGCCAUUCAUACAUGGUUUUUUUAGUGAAUCUUGCCUUUUAUUGUCAUUUUAUUCUCAUAAUUCUAAAAAAAACCCUCUUUUUUGUGUGUGGAACAACUUUUGAAUAAUGAGACACAAAAUUUGCUUAAAUUCAGUAACUCCAUCCAUAAGAAAUAAUGACAGUAACGUUCCAACGUCAGUGUUGCUUUUUAUAAUAGGAAGCACACAUGCUGUAUGACUACACACACAAAGAUAUCACGCGUUGCCUGUACUAAGAUGGAACUUUAUUUUAGUAAUGCUUUUUUUUUUUUUUUUUUUCAUUUUAUUUCUGCAGCUUGGACAGUCUCGAAGAUAUUUGGAUUUGCAAGAACAUCUCCUCCUCCUCAGUAAUCAGAGAGAUAGCUUUCAGAUGACAUGUCUAUUCAAGGCAAGGCUCUGACAACCUCGUUCAUGGUGACAUCUCAUCUACGUUAAUUAGACCACUUCCAGAAGACAGGAUUGCAUCUCAUGAGUAAGUAUAUACCCAUCUGUUUUAAGCUUAAGCAGCAUUUGUUACCGCUAGAACUUUCUCCUUUAGCACGACAGUGUUUCCUAGUAUUUCAGCUGUAAUUUUACUGAACAGUAGAAUUAGCUGCUAUUGUACGACUUGGUGUAGGAUAAAGCAUUCUUGUCCACUAGUCUGAAAGUGAUUAAAAAUGUAAGAACAAA